UUUAAUCAUAUUACUAAGGA
This 20-nucleotide ribosomal RNA is filed under the name Laelaps muricola. RNAcentral's name for it is "partial 28S ribosomal RNA". The record is from RNAcentral. Lineage: Eukaryota; Metazoa; Arthropoda; Arachnida; Mesostigmata; Laelapidae.